UAAAAGAUAAGCUAAACUUAAGCUGUUGGGUUCAUACCCCAAUUAUGAGAAUCUCUCUUUUAA
Molecule: transfer RNA, 63 nt
Filed under: Orthione mesoamericana
Lineage: Eukaryota; Metazoa; Arthropoda; Malacostraca; Isopoda; Bopyridae
Description: tRNA-Met
Source: RNAcentral